RNAcentral lists this ribosomal RNA (484 nucleotides) under uncultured bacterium. Its description in RNAcentral is "partial 16S ribosomal RNA". It matches the Rfam family "Bacterial small subunit ribosomal RNA", at positions 30 to 507 of the family's 1533-position model. The record is from RNAcentral.
AUUGAACGCUGGCGGCAGGCCUAACACAUGCAAGUCGAGCGGAUGAAGGGAGCUUGCUCCUGGAUUCAGCGGCGGACGGGUGAGUAAUGCCUAGGAAUCUGCCUGGUAGUGGGGGAUAACGUCCGAAAACGGGCGCUAAUACCGCGUACGUCCUGAGGGAGAAAGUGGGGGAUCUUCGGACCUCACGCUAUCAGAUGAGCCUAGGUCGGAUUAGCUAGUUGGUGGGGUAAAGGCCUACCAAGGCGACGAUCCGUAACUGGUCUGAGAGGAUGAUCAGUCACACUGGAACUGAGACACGGUCCAGACUCCUACGGGAGGCAGCAGUGGGGAAUAUUGGACAAUGGGCGAAAGCCUGAUCCAGCCAUGCCGCGUGUGUGAAGAAAGUCUUCGGAUUGUAAAGCACUUUAAGUUGGGAGGAAGGGCAGUAAGUUAAUACCUUGCUGUUUUGACGUUACCAACAGAAUAAGCACCGGCUAACUUCGUG